CACGUAGGGCGCAAGCGUUGUCCGGAAUUAUUGGGCGUAAAGAGCUCGUAGGUGGUUCGGUAAGUCGGAUGUGAAAUCUCCAGGCUCAACCUGGAGGGGUCAUUCGAUACUGCCGUGACUAGAGUUCGGUAGAGGAGUGUGGAAUUCCUGGUGGAGCGGUGAAAUGCGCAGAGAUCAGGAGGAACACCCGUAGCGAAGGCGGCACUCUGGGCCGAUACUGACACUGAGGAGCGAAAGCGUGGGGAGCGAACAGG
This 254-nucleotide ribosomal RNA is filed under the name uncultured bacterium. Its description in RNAcentral is "partial 16S ribosomal RNA". It matches the Rfam family "Bacterial small subunit ribosomal RNA", at positions 524 to 776 of the family's 1533-position model. The record is from RNAcentral.